RNA transcript from Vigna angularis (adzuki bean), 2823 nucleotides. It is a transcript of the gene named vacuolar fusion protein MON1 homolog, with no coding region annotated. The record is from RefSeq and is a predicted model, not a curated record. Lineage: Eukaryota; Viridiplantae; Streptophyta; Magnoliopsida; Fabales; Fabaceae. The transcript is spliced from 16 exons.
AGAAAGUGUGUUAUCCCAGCCCGGCCCGCCAAUCUGAGCUGGUGAGUCGUGGUGUUCGCGAACGUCCGCUGACUGCACCCAGCUACCUGUCAGACCCAGCCGAGACAAGCAGCGACUGGCAGCGCAACAACAUUUUGCUUCAAAACCCCAACCCUCUCUCUCUAUGUCUUCGCCAACAGACACACACUCUCUCUCUAAAAUCAUAACUAUGAACGACAACGAAACAGAGUCCGAUGGAGAGAUUAGGGCUUCCGUCGAACCCGCUUCGGAGGAAGCUCCAUCCAGCCCCGGUAGCAGCGGGUACGUCGGCGAAGGAGGCAGCACCAGCGCAACCACCGGUUCGCAAUUCGAAAUUGAGCACGAAGAAAUAGAAGAGGACACGACGAUUCAUAUGGACAGAAUCUCGAUUUCCGAUUCCCACGCCUCGUGGAUUCCCGGCAAACGGCACUUCGAUGAGGAUGAUGGCUCUAUAUCAUGGAGGAAGAGGAAGAAACAUUUUUUCGUUCUCAGUCAUUCCGGCAAACCUAUAUAUUCCAGGUAUGGAGAUGAACACAGACUUGCAGGGUUUUCAGCAACUUUGCAAGCAAUCAUUUCCUUUGUUGAGAACGGGGGCGACUCUGUCAAAUUGGUGAGGGCUGGAAGGCAUCAGGUGAUUUUUCUAGUGAAAGGACCAAUUUACUUAGUCUGCAUCAGCUCCACAGAAGAACCUUACGCUUCAUUAAGGGGGCAGUUAGAGCUAAUUUAUGGCCAGAUGCUUGUUAUACUAACAAAAUCAAUAAAUAGAUGUUUUGAGAAGAACCCAAAGUUUGAUAUGACACCCUUGCUUGGUGGAACAGAAAUUGUCUUCUCUUCUCUAAUACACUCUUUCAGCUGGAACCCAGCUACAUUUCUUCAUGCCUAUACUUGUCUCCCUCUUGCAUAUGCAACAAGGCAAGCUGCAGGAGCUAUUUUGCAAGAUGUUGCUGAUUCGGGUGUUCUGUUUGCAAUACUGAUGUGCAGGCACAAGGUAAUCAGUCUCGUUGGUGCUCAGAAAGCUUCCCUUCAUCCAGAUGAUAUACUGCUUUUGGCCAACUUUGUCAUGGCAUCUGAAUCCUUCAGGACAUCAGAAUCAUUUUCUCCAAUUUGCUUGCCAAGAUAUAACCCUUCAGCAUUUUUGUAUUCAUAUAUCCAUUACUUCGAUGCUGACACAUACUUGGUGUUACUAUCCACUAAUUCUGAUGCAUUUUAUCAUCUUAAAGAUUGCAGGAUUCGUGUUGAAAAUGUUCUUUUGAAGUCAUGUGUCCUUAGUGAAGUUCAGAGAUCCUUGUUAAACGGGGGAAUGCAUGUUGAAGAUCUGCCACCUAUAUCUCAUUCUGGAUCAUCUCAUUUGGGCCAGCACAUGCUUCCAUCAGAUUCUCCUGACAGAUUUAGGGAAGCUAAUUCUGGCAUUGGGGGUCCUGCUGGGUUGUGGCAUUUCAUAUACCGCAGUAUAUAUCUUGACCAGUAUGUCUCCUCGGAGUUCCCACCAUCAAUCAAUACGCCUCAGCUGCAAAAAAGACUGUAUAGAGCUUACGAGAAACUUUUUGCAUCCAUGCAUGAUAAAGGAAUUGGGCCACACAAAACUCAAUUCAGAAGAGAUGAAAACUACGUUCUUCUCUGUUGGGUGACACAGGAUUUUGAGCUCUAUGCUGCCUUUGAUCCCCUUGCAGACAAGGCCUUGGCAAUCAAGACGUGCAACCAUGUUUGUCAGUGGAUAAAAGAUGUGGAAAAUGAAAUAUUUUUGCUAGGAGCUAGCCCCUUUUCAUGGUGAUUUCCUUGCAAAUGCUGUAAACAUUUGCAGACACCACUGUGUUAAUCGGAUCAAGAAGUAUUUGGGUGACAAAAAGAAAAAAGAAUGGACUUUUAGAAAGUGGGGUUCCUUUACUUUCUUUGGGCUUCUUCUGUUCUUGCCAUUGGGGCUGUGGAGCUGGGUCGACAUUAACCUACUAAGAGAAUUUCAGGUUUGAAUGGAGGCAGCGCGUAGAGAUUGGAGAGGUUGAGGUUUUAGGGUUCUUCGUGAUUCUGUGAUGGUGAUGAAGGCUGCGAUUUGGGUUGCAGGUGAACUGCACGAGGAGGUGAUGGUUGCACGAGGUGAUGGCGACACUGUGCUAGGGUUUGGUGGCGGUGAUGCUGUGGUGAUGGCAGCGCUCGUGGUUCAUGGUGGAGCGAUAAGGUUGCUUGCGAUUCUGGGUGUUUAUGGUGGAUGUUGCGUCGCUCGCGACAUUGGCGACAAAAGAAGGAUACGCACUGGCCUGAUUCAUUGUGUGGGUGGUGGCGUGUGAUGGAGGAUGGUUGUCCAACGAGAUGAGCAUGGUGGUUGGCCGUGGCGGCGAGGAUGGUGGGGAAUGACACUGUUGCGGCGGCUAGCUUUACCUAAAAAAUUUCACGUAAUAUAAUACUGACACAUCAUCAUUUUAAGUGUGCACCACGUCAUUACAGUUAGACGGCGUCAGUGAUAACUUAACGGAGAGGGCUUAAUUGACUCAUUUUUACAAGUUUAUAGACUCGAUUUAGGCCGAAAAAAAAUACAAGGAUUCACUUGAGAUUGAUACACAAAUACGAAGAGCAAAUGAGGGUUUAAACCUAAUUUUAUUUAUCUUAUUUUAGUAUUGUAUUAUGAUUUUUAAGUUUAAUUGGUCAAUUUUCCAAAGUUAAGGUCCAGAAGUGAUUAUAAUAAUGAAAGUGUUUUUCCAACUUAAGAAAAAAAAAUGUCACUGGGUUAAAUGUUGAGCCAUCGUUAGUUUCUUCCUGCACUUUUAUAGCUUUCUUCCUGCAUUCCAUAUUUUUUUUUCCAUCAUCCCUUUU